This 464-nucleotide ribosomal RNA is filed under the name uncultured bacterium. RNAcentral's name for it is "partial 16S ribosomal RNA". It matches the Rfam family "Bacterial small subunit ribosomal RNA", at positions 28 to 507 of the family's 1533-position model. The record is from RNAcentral.
GACGAACGCUGGCGGCGUGCUUAACACAUGCAAGUCGAGCGGUAAGGCCCUUUGGGUGGUACACGAGCGGCGAACGGGGGCGGAACACGUGAGCAAUCUUCCCCUGUCUCUGGGAUAACCACUGCAAACGGUGGCUAAUACCGGUUAUGACCUACUUCUGCAUGGGUGGUGGUGGAAAAGUCCGCUCGCCAGGGCUGGGCUCGCGGCCUAUCACCUCGUUGGUGGAGUAAGGGCCUACCAAGGCGACGAGUGGUAGCCGGCCUGGGUGGUGGACCGGCCACCCUGGGCCUGCGGCACGGACCAGACUCCUACGGGCGGCAGCAGUCGGGAAUAUUGCACAACGGGCGCACGCGUGAUCUAGCAGCGCCGCGUUCGGGAUGCCCGCCUUCGGGUUGUAAACCACUUUCAGCAGAACCGUAGCCAAAGUGACGGUACCUGCAGAAGAAGCACCGGCCAACUACGUG